This 459-nucleotide ribosomal RNA is filed under the name uncultured bacterium. RNAcentral's name for it is "bacterial SSU rRNA". It matches the Rfam family "Bacterial small subunit ribosomal RNA", at positions 33 to 507 of the family's 1533-position model. The record is from RNAcentral.
AACGACGCUGGCGGCAGGCUUAACACAUGCAAGUCGAACGGUUGUAGCAAUACAGCAGUGGCAGACGGGUGAGUAACACGUGGGAACCUUCCUAGGGGUACGGAACAACUCAGGGAAACUUGAGCUAAUACCGUAUACGUCCGUGAGGAGAAAGAUUUAUCGCCCUUAGACGGGCCCGCGUCGGAUUAGCUAGUUGGUGGGGUAACGGCCUACCAAGGCGACGAUCCGUAGCUGAUCUUAGAGGAUGAUCAGCCACACUGGGACUGAGACACGGCCCAGACUCCUACGGGAGGCAGCAGUGGGGAAUCUUGGACAAUGGGCGCAAGCCUGAUCCAGCCAUGCCGCGUGAGUGAAGAAGGUCUUCGGAUUGUAAAGCUCUUUCGGUGGGGAAGAAAUUGCACGGGAUAAUACCCUGUGUAGAUGACGGUACCUGGAGAAGAAGCACCGGCUAACUACGUG